GCUGGGUACAGUGGUGCAUGCCUGUAAUCCCAGUGAUUCAGGAGGCUGAAACUGGAGGAUUGCAAGUAUGAGGUGAGCCUCAGCAACUUAGUGAGAUCCUGUCUCAA
Molecule: small RNA, 107 nt
Filed under: Marmota monax (woodchuck)
Lineage: Eukaryota; Metazoa; Chordata; Mammalia; Rodentia; Sciuridae
Source: RNAcentral